Molecule: ribosomal RNA, 410 nt
Filed under: uncultured bacterium
Lineage: Bacteria
Description: bacterial SSU rRNA
Rfam family: Bacterial small subunit ribosomal RNA
Source: RNAcentral
AAGGGGCGCAAGCCUGAUCCAGCAAUGCCGCGUGGGUGAAGACGGCAUGCGGGUUGUAAAGCCCUUUAGGUGGGGAAGAAGGAUGAGGUGCGAAUACCGCCUUAUUUUGACAUUACCCACAGAAUAAGCACCGGCUAACUCCGUGCCAGCAGCCGCGGUAAUACGGAGGGUGCAAGCGUUAAUCAGAAUGACUGGGCGUAAAGCGUGCGUAGGUGGUAACGUUAGUCAGCCGUGAAAGCCCUGGGCUUAACCUGGGAAUAGCGGUUGAAACGGCGUAACUCGAGUGGGCUAGAGGACUGUGGAACUCCUGGUGUAGCGGUGAAAUGCGUAGAGAUCAGGAAGAACACCGAUGGCGAAGGCAGCGGUCUGGGGCCACACUGACACUGAGGCACGAAAGCGUGGGGAGCAAA